RNAcentral lists this ribosomal RNA (442 nucleotides) under uncultured prokaryote. RNAcentral describes it as "bacterial SSU rRNA". It matches the Rfam family "Bacterial small subunit ribosomal RNA", at positions 355 to 796 of the family's 1533-position model. The record is from RNAcentral.
UCGAGAAUCAUUGUCAAUGGGCGCAAGCCUGAACGUGCGACGCCGCGUGUGGGAUGAAGGCCUUCGGGUUGUAAACCACUGUCAGGGGCUAACAAUAAGCGUGUAACCCACGUGAUGAGUUAAACCCCAGAGGAAGUGACAGCUAACUACGUGCCAGCAGCUGCGGUAAUACGUAGGUCGCAAACGUUGUUCGGAUUUACUGGGCUUAAAGGGCGUGUAGGUGGUUUCGUAAGUCAAGGUUGAAAUCCGGCGGCUCACCCGCCGAACUGGCCUCGAUACUGCGGAACUAGAGUCACGGAGGGGUGCGUGGAACUUGUGGUGGAGCGGUGAAAUGCUCAGAUAUCACAGGGAACACCCGAGGCGAAGGCGACGCACUGGCCGUGUACUGACACUGAGGCGCGAAAGCGUGGGGAGCGAACGGGAUUAGAUACCCGCGUAGUCC